RNAcentral lists this ribosomal RNA (253 nucleotides) under uncultured bacterium. RNAcentral describes it as "partial 16S ribosomal RNA". It matches the Rfam family "Bacterial small subunit ribosomal RNA", at positions 524 to 776 of the family's 1533-position model. The record is from RNAcentral.
UACGGAGGGUGCAAGCGUUGUUCGGAAUUACUGGGCGUAAAGCGCGUGCAGGCGGUCGGGCAAGUCAGAUGUGAAAGCCUUCCGCUUAACGGAAGAAGUGCAUUUGAAACUACCCGGCUGGAGUACGGGAGAGGAGAGUGGAAUUCCCGGUGUAGAGGUGAAAUUCGUAGAUAUCGGGAGGAACACCAGUGGCGAAGGCGGCUCUCUGGUCCGAUACUGACGCUGAGACGCGAAAGCGUGGGGAGCAAACAGG